GGAAGGACGCCUGCGGCCUACCCCCUCAUUUCUGGGGACCCCUGGAUCAUCCUCUCUGGAAGGAGCCGGUGCCUGUGGCUGCAGGUAUGAGGUGACCUUGACCCAGUCCCACGUGGGUGAAGGAAGCUGGCUUGGAACAGGGCAGGCGGCUGGAGGCCCCGUGAUGCCCACCUGGUGCCCAGUGAGCCUGGUGUGAGAGGGGCGAUUAAAUGCUGAAAGGAGGUUCCUGUGUCACCUCUGUGGUCCUGGCACAGGUGGUGAUGAAGGCAGGAGGGGUCGCGGCCUCGCCCUCCCUGCCUCCAGCCGAGGGGCGGCGCUGCUGGCAUCCACGCGUCUCCCCCUUCGCUCUGCACGGAGCCUGAGCGAGGCGUUGUCAGCGAGGCCCCGGGGCCCGCAGAGGUUGAGCACUACGGCCAACAUCACACAGCCGUCUCCUCCGCGGGGCCACACGCACCCUUACUCGAGUGGCUACUGCCAGUCGUUCAGUGGCUCCUGGGAGAAAAACACGAGGUUGGGAGGCUGUGAGUUCACCAGGGUGAGAUGUGUUCACGUGAAAUAAGGAUAAAAGCACAUGUUUCAGGAGGCCGUAGAGUCCAGGGGCGUAAGCGGGACAAGAGCAGCGGGCUCACUGUGUGUGAGGCCGGCUCCCACCCGCCUGGGGCCGCCUCCCACCCCGCCUAGGGCCGCCAGCUCCGCCCACUCAGCCGGAGCCGUCUCCACCCUAGGGCCGGUCUGACACUGCCCGGACGGGGUGGGGGCACCCACGGCUCCAGGAGAAGGGCUGCAUCAGAGGGUGAGCCACGCGAGGAUGAUUCCUGCUCCGGAUUCCUAGCCGGCCUGACCAGGCACGAAUUCAGACCCACUCAGUGUAUCCUCCAAGGCAGUUAAUCAGGGCCUUAAUAACUGGCUCCCCAUGACGCAUGCUGGGUAAUUAUCUGCUAACUUCUCCAGCUGGCCGGUGCAGAUGCUGCGGUGGAGCGGAGGGAGCGGCAUCUGCAGGAGGUACAGCAGUGAAGCAGGAACCACACCUUCACGGUGCUGCCCUCUGCAGCCCAGCGGCCACGAAGGACCUGCCACCUGAGUGUCCAGACACCACCGGGGGCUUCACACCUCAGGAUAGCACUCACCACGUGAGCACACAGACACCGGGCUGGGGCUUCACACCCUGAGGACAGCUUCCCCACCAUGUGAACAUCCAUAGACCACCCUGAGGCUUCACACCUGAGUGCAGCCUCCUCCACGUGAAUACUCAGACAUCACACUGGGGCUUCACACCUGAGGACAGCGUUCAUCACGUGCAGCCCUGCUGACUGGCUCCUUGAACCCAGAGGACUAUCUGCAUGCUUUUGGUUCUUUGCAUCCUUUUGUCAGAGAUGUGGAGAACGUCGGGACUGUCGGGGGCACACUCAAGACCCUAGUGAUGCUCUCACGGCCCUCGGCCUGCUGCCCCUCCCGAGCCCACGUUCCCUCCCUGCACUCCAGGGUCUCUGUCUACAAGAGGCAGAUGCGUGGAGCUCACUCCUCAGAGGGCUGCAGUGGACAGACCGUCUCCAUGCACGGGAAGUGCCCAGCACCUGGCUGUCUCUGCACCCAGCCAUGCCGUAGCCUACCCUGGAGGUUCUCAGAACAUCUUCAUCCGCCAGCUCGAGGCUGUUCCUCCUCCAGGACAACCCAUGCCCGUGUCCUGGAGUGAUGUGUGUCAUCUGUGGAAAAAUUAUUUUGACUUGUACUGUGUAUUACUCAUGAAGAGAGCCUUCCGAGGAUGCGUGUGAGCCUGAACUGUGAUGGAAAGGUAACUCCACCCUCCCUCUUAAGCUCCUCUGAUCCUCCGGGUGACUGGGUGGGGAGAUGGGACCACCUCUGCCCUGAGCCAUGAGAGCUGGAGAUGAGGGCGAGCUGGUUUCUCCUCUGCAGCUGCUCAUGCUCUGAGCAUCAGGAAUUUGAAAACCUAAGCAUUUGUUGGCUGCAGAUUUUACCUCUUGAACAUGUUUUUUUCAUUAAACUUUUCACUGUCAGAUAA
RNA transcript from Bubalus bubalis (water buffalo), 2020 nucleotides. RefSeq lists it as uncharacterized. Lineage: Eukaryota; Metazoa; Chordata; Mammalia; Artiodactyla; Bovidae. The transcript is spliced from 4 exons. The record is from RefSeq and is a predicted model, not a curated record.